CCGAUUAUUGAUCGUCGCCGACCAAUUCUUAUCUCGGCAACAUCCAGUUGGUAGCUCAAUUCAAAAUUCAAGCGCCUGUUAGACAACAACUGUCACAAAAUUGAUAAGGCAACCAUGACAGCCACAUCCCAAAAAUCUCGAGCAAUAGUCUCACCACCAUGUGCAAAUCGUAUCCUAAUCGAGCAGGAUUGUGCCAACUAACCUAUUAACUGAAGCUUCAACCCUCCAC
This 229-nucleotide long non-coding RNA is filed under the name Elaeis guineensis (African oil palm). RNAcentral describes it as "long non-coding RNA (EGUI_LNC005913)". Lineage: Eukaryota; Viridiplantae; Streptophyta; Magnoliopsida; Arecales; Arecaceae. The record is from RNAcentral.